This 229-nucleotide ribosomal RNA is filed under the name uncultured bacterium. RNAcentral's name for it is "partial 16S ribosomal RNA". It matches the Rfam family "Bacterial small subunit ribosomal RNA", at positions 568 to 796 of the family's 1533-position model. The record is from RNAcentral.
UGCGCAGGCGGAAUGGUAAGUCAGUGGUGAAAUCCUACAGCUUAACUGUAGAACUGCCAUUGAUGCUGUCAUUCUUGAGUACAUAUGAAGUGGGCGGAAUGUGUCAUGUAGCGGUGAAAUGCAUAGAUAUGACACAGAACACCGAUAGCGAAGGCAGCUCACUAAAUUGUAACUGACGCUCAUGCACGAAAGCGUGGGGAGCAAACAGGAUUAGAUACCCUGGUAGUCC